Molecule: long non-coding RNA, 850 nt
Filed under: Coturnix japonica (Japanese quail)
Lineage: Eukaryota; Metazoa; Chordata; Aves; Galliformes; Phasianidae
Description: lncRNA (ENSCJPG00005003661.1)
Source: RNAcentral
UCUCCCCUGACACAGCUCCAUGCCAUUCCCUCAGGCCCUGUUGCUGUCACAGAGAGCAGAGCUCAGAGCUCCCUGUGAGGAGCUGCAGCCACCAUCAGGUCUCCCCUGAGCUCCUUUGCUCUGGGCUGAACAAACCCAGAGGCUGUAGCUGUUCCUUAUACAUCUGACCCUCAAGACCCUUCAUCACUUCAAACAUCAGGAUUUUGUGAAACCAGGAAUACAUAUUCAUGCUUUUUUUUUUUUUUUUUUUUUUUUUUUUUUUUUUUUUUUUUUUUUUCCUUCUUCUUUCUAAAAAAGACAGAAACCUGAAAGACUCCAGACGGGUAGACUGACCUCCCUAUAAGCUCUCUGAGCAGCAGUGGCAGGUCUGGGACUCAGUUCUCCUAUGUCACAGUAGCUUUUAAUCAUGUGAUUCAUCUUUCUGCAGGGAGAGCUGAUGUAAUCCUUACCCCUCUUAUGAAGCCUUGGCCUCUCUUCUCUUGGACAGAAUUGUUCUUUGGAAAGUAGAAUAGAUGAUGAAAGCUCAGUGGGGGAACACGAGGCAGUUACAAAGAGGCUGAAGUAAAAGAAAGUCAAGAAUAUGAACAAUUCGGAGCUGGUGCUUGUGAUGCCUGGAGAAAAGCACUUCAUGCAAAAGUUGCAGAGAACUUUUUGCUCUCCUCAUUAAUGUAUCGAAGAAGGAGAUUUUUACUCAAAGGAUGUGUACAAAGAAGUCAGGCUGCUUGUUCUGUGGAACCCAGAGUCAGAGGAACGGAUGAAGAAGAAAGAAGUGUGACCCUGUGUGUGUGUUUGGCUUCAUCUCCCCAUGGAUCAGGAGUUCAUUUAGAAAUGUUUCUAGGAAAUGAAUGAA